AGAGUUUGAUCCUGGCUCAGAACGAACGCUGGCGGCGUGCCUAACACAUGCAAGUCGAACGGAUUUGAGGGGCUUGCUCCUCAAGUUAGUGGCGCACGGGUGAGUAACGCGUAGAUAAUCUGCCUGAUGAUCUGGGAUAACACUUCGAAAGGGGUGCUAAUACCGGAUAAGCCCACGGGGUCUUUGGACUCUGCGGGAAAAGGGGGGGACCUUCGGGCCUUCUGUCGUCAGAUGAGUCUGCGUACCAUUAGCUAGUUGGUAGGGUAACGGCCCACCAAGGCUACGAUCAGUAGCUGGUCUGAGAGGAUGAUCAGCCACACUGGAACUGAGACACGGUCCAGACUCCUACGGGAGGCAGCAGUGAGGAAUAUUGGGCAAUGGACGCAAGUCUGACCCAGCAACGCCGCGUGAAGGAUGAAUGUCGUAAGAUUGUAAACUUCUGUGAGAAGGGACGAAAAAACAGGCUCAUACCCUGUUCUGACGGUACCUUCAGAGGAAGCCCCGGCUAACUACGUGCCAGCAGCCGCGGUAAUACGUAGGGGGCUAGCGUUGUCCGGAUUUACUGGGUGUAAAGGGCGCGUAGGUGGACUUGUCAGUCAGAGGUGAAACCCUGCAGCUUAACUGCAGAACUGCCUUUGAUACUGCAAGCCUUGAGUCUAGAAGAGAAAAGCGGAAUUCCAGGUGUAGUGGUGAAAUACGUAGAUAUCUGGAAGAACACCAGUUGCGAAGGCGGCUUUUUGGUCUAGAACUGACACUGAGGCGCGAAAGCGUGGGUAGCAAACAGGAUUAGAUACCCUGGUAGUCC
RNAcentral lists this ribosomal RNA (805 nucleotides) under uncultured bacterium. RNAcentral's name for it is "bacterial SSU rRNA". It matches the Rfam family "Bacterial small subunit ribosomal RNA", at positions 8 to 796 of the family's 1533-position model. The record is from RNAcentral.